Molecule: transfer RNA, 93 nt
Filed under: Chloroflexota bacterium
Lineage: Bacteria; Bacillati; Chloroflexota
Also listed under: 2 other names
Description: Chloroflexi bacterium tRNA-Ser
Rfam family: tRNA
About the family: Transfer RNA (tRNA) molecules are approximately 80 nucleotides in length. Their secondary structure includes four short double-helical elements and three loops (D, anti-codon, and T loops).
Source: RNAcentral
GGAGGGAUCGCAUAGAGGCCUAGUGCGGCCGCCUGCUAAGCGGUUAGGGGGCUUAAUACCCUCUCAUGGGUUCGAAUCCCAUUCCCUCCGCCA